GUCUAUGGCCAUGCUAUCCUGAACAAGCCUGAUCCUGCUUGAUCUCCGAAGCUAAGCAGGUCAGGUCUGCUUAGUACUUGGAUGGGAGACUCUAGGAAGACCAAGUGCUAUAGGUG
This 116-nucleotide ribosomal RNA is filed under the name Pteropus alecto (black flying fox). Lineage: Eukaryota; Metazoa; Chordata; Mammalia; Chiroptera; Pteropodidae. The record is from RNAcentral.